Molecule: transfer RNA, 68 nt
Filed under: Scriptaphyosemion bertholdi
Lineage: Eukaryota; Metazoa; Chordata; Actinopteri; Cyprinodontiformes; Nothobranchiidae
Description: tRNA-Tyr
Rfam family: tRNA
About the family: Transfer RNA (tRNA) molecules are approximately 80 nucleotides in length.
Source: RNAcentral
GGUAUGAUGGCUGAGGUAAGCGGUGGAUUGUAGCUCCAUGUACAGAGGUUUGAGCCCUCUUCAUACCA